This 695-nucleotide ribosomal RNA is filed under the name uncultured bacterium. RNAcentral's name for it is "bacterial SSU rRNA". It matches the Rfam family "Bacterial small subunit ribosomal RNA", at positions 230 to 916 of the family's 1533-position model. The record is from RNAcentral.
CCGAUAUCGGAUUAGCUAGUUGGUGAGGUAAAGGCUCACCAAGGCGACGAUCCGUAGCUGGUCUGAGAGGACGACCAGCCACACUGGAACUGAGACACGGUCCAGACUCCUACGGGAGGCAGCAGUGGGGAAUUUUGGACAAUGGGGGCAACCCUGAUCCAGCCAUGCCGCGUGAGUGAAGAAGGCCUUCGGGUUGUAAAGCUCUUUCAGACGGAAAGAAACGGUUACGGCUAAUACCCGUGACUAAUGACGGUACCGUCAGAAGAAGCACCGGCUAACUACGUGCCAGCAGCCGCGGUAAUACGUAGGGUGCGAGCGUUAAUCGGAAUUACUGGGCGUAAAGCGUGCGCAGGCGGUUUUGUAAGACAGACGUGAAAUCCCCGGGCUUAACCUGGGAACUGCGUUUGUGACUGCAAGACUAGAGUACGGCAGAGGGGGGUAGAAUUCCACGUGUAGCAGUGAAAUGCGUAGAUAUGUGGAGGAAUACCGAUAGCGAAGGCAGCCCCCUGGGUCGAUACUGACGCUCAUGCACGAAAGCGUGGGGAGCAAACAGGAUUAGAUACCCUGGUAGUCCACGCCCUAAACGAUGUCAACUAGGUGUUGGGGAAGGAGACUUCUUUAGUACCGCAGCUAACGCGAUAAGUUGACCGCCUGGGGAGUACGGUCGCAAGAUUAAAACUCAAAGGAAUUGACGG